ACCGGGGUAAUUAAUUCAAACCUAAUUAGUAAUAUGUUAUGUCCUAAAAAUUUGAAGAAUUUGGCGGUGAUUUAAUCUACUCAGAGGAACCUGUUUUUGAAUCAAUAAACCACGAAUAAUCUUGCUCACUUUUGUAAAGUAUGUAUACCAUCAUUAUUAGGUAAUUUUUAUAGAAUAAAUUACUGAAUUUGCUAAUAAUGUUAAAUAUAUUAGAUCAAGGUGCAUCUUAUAAUUGAGUUAAAAUGGGUUACAAUAAGUUUUAUUUAUCACGGAGAUAUAGUUUAAACACUAGUUAUGAAGGAGGAUUUGAUUGUAAGAUAAGUUUAACACGCUUGUUAGAUAUAAGCUCUAAAUCUUGUACACACCGCCCGUCGCCCUCACAACACGUCCGCACCGCCCGUCGCCCUCAACGAGUGGGGCUACACACGUGUUUACAAUGGCGCAUACAGAGGGCGGCCAACUUGCGAGAGUGAGCGAAUCCCAAAAAAGUGG
This 492-nucleotide ribosomal RNA is filed under the name Charybdis feriata. RNAcentral's name for it is "partial 12S ribosomal RNA". Lineage: Eukaryota; Metazoa; Arthropoda; Malacostraca; Decapoda; Portunidae. The record is from RNAcentral.